This 101-nucleotide non-coding RNA is filed under the name Sporomusa sphaeroides. RNAcentral describes it as "Sporomusa sp. TPP sequence". It matches the Rfam family "TPP riboswitch aptamer (THI element)". From Rfam's summary of the family: Vitamin B(1) in its active form thiamin pyrophosphate (TPP) is an essential coenzyme that is synthesised by coupling of pyrimidine and thiazole moieties in bacteria. Lineage: Bacteria; Bacillati; Bacillota; Negativicutes; Selenomonadales; Sporomusaceae. The record is from RNAcentral. RNAcentral also lists the same sequence under 1 other name.
AGUUAUAGCUAGGGGUGCCAGAUGUGGCUGAGAGGAAUUCAAUUCCAACCCUCGAACCUGAUGUGGUUAAUACCACCGUAGGAAAGCUUUAUACCAAACGA